Pieris napi is the source of this 574-nucleotide long non-coding RNA. RefSeq lists it as uncharacterized. The record is from RefSeq and is a predicted model, not a curated record. Lineage: Eukaryota; Metazoa; Arthropoda; Insecta; Lepidoptera; Pieridae. The transcript has 4 exons.
UACCUAUGUCAAAUUGACGUUUAAUAAGACUUAGUAAUAUUUUUAUAAAAUUUAUUGUAUUCAAAUAACUUUCCAAUAUGUCUUGGUUGUCGGGUCCUGCAAGUGUAAACAAUUAUUACGAGUUCAUUGAACUACAACGAACAUUAGAAAAAGUAAUUUAAUCGGGCGGUGUGUGUGAUGUUGUGGGCGGUAGCGGCUUUUGUGUUAGCACUGGGCCUGGCGCCGUGCGUGGUGCAGCGCGCCUGUCCACCGGGUACUCCGCGACCGCCUUCCUCCGUCUGUAUGCACCGACUACACGCGCAUCAGUGUUCAAAAAAAUGAGAAUAAACUGUCGCUCAGUCCUCCAGUCCUCUGUCUAACACAAAAUCAUAAAUAAGUUCCAUAAAAGCAGGGUGCGAUGUAUGAGCGGAUAUAUGGCCGUGUUGUGCGGAUUGCGCGCGAGUGCUAUUGCCGACGUUGCUGCGGGUGUCGCUGGUUGCUUUGUUGCUUCUCUUGCCGUUGUACUUGUCAUCGCACCACUGACUGAAAGACGAGACAUGGAGACCGCUCUGCUUUUCACGCUCUUAGCUCUUCA